Molecule: long non-coding RNA, 897 nt
Organism: Macadamia integrifolia
Lineage: Eukaryota; Viridiplantae; Streptophyta; Magnoliopsida; Proteales; Proteaceae
Exons: 3
Source: RefSeq, a predicted model, not a curated record
UUUGGAAUCCUGCAACUAUGGCUUAUGCAAUUUCUAGGGCUUUGGUGAAGACACUGGGUUUUUUAAGUUGAAGAGAGGAAAACGUCUAGGUAUGAUUUCUGGAGGGAAGGAGGAAGAUGUGGGGGGAAAGAGAUACCUUCUAUUGGGGCCAAAAUGCUAAUGAGAAAAUUGAAGCAAUUAUUGUGGUGUUCGCUUGGAUGUCGAGUCAGGAGAGGCAAUUGAAGUCAUUUGUUCAGCUCUACUCUUCACUCGUAUGGAAUUCCCUCAUCUGUCAUUCUGAAUUUCUCAAUCAGUAGUGCAGGUAAGUUGCGAUGAGAUAGUAAUGUUGAACAUUAAGACAGCUGACACCCACAGGUAGGCUUGUCUGAUGAGAUGCAUUCUAGUCUUGUCAUUUAACUUUAGACUACAGUUAAUUGCAGCUGAUGCCCACAGUUAUGUUAGAUAACCAAUUCUGUCUCCCAAUGUUGGUUGGGGACAAUGAUGUUGAAUGGAGAGAGAAGACUAACCUUACUCUCAUGUGCAUGAACUGGGAUCUGACAAUUAGAGAGGAUAAGCUUGCCACUCUCACUGCAAAUUGCUGUUGUUUUAUGGUUGUCCUUGUUGGCAACUCGACCACGUAACGAUGAUGAUGUGGCCAGUUUGGGUGACUUUGGAUGAAAAUGAUGACAUGACAGUGUCUAGUGUCACCGAUGAGAUAACAGAACUACUUGGUAUGCAUGGAAUGGUUUGAUACAUCCUUACUAUGUGGUGCGGGUUUCUAAGUCAAAACUGGUAAAAUUGAUCUAUUUAUGAUCGGAGGUAUUUUUAGCAGUGAAAAUGACAUUUUUGGAAGAUUUUUUCUUCAUAAAAAAUAUAUAUUGUAAUUUAUCUAGUCCAGUGCAUCUAAUUUUGUCGCAU